This 273-nucleotide ribosomal RNA is filed under the name uncultured bacterium. RNAcentral's name for it is "partial 16S ribosomal RNA". It matches the Rfam family "Bacterial small subunit ribosomal RNA", at positions 524 to 796 of the family's 1533-position model. The record is from RNAcentral.
UACAGAGGGUGCGAGCGUUGUCCGGAAUCACUGGGCGUAAAGGGCGCGUAGGCGGCCUGAUAAGUCGGGGGUGAAAUCCUGUGGCUCAACCACAGGGCUGCCUCCGAGACUGUCGGGCUCGAGCACAGUAGAGGCAGGUGGAAUUCCCGGUGUAGCGGUGGAAUGCGUAGAGAUCGGGAAGAACAUCGGUGGCGAAGGCGGCCUGCUGGGCUGUUGCUGACGCUGAGGCGCGACAGCGUGGGGAGCAAACAGGAUUAGAAACCCUCGUAGUCC